UGCCAGCCGCCGCGGUAAUACGUAAGGGGCAAGCGUUACCCGGAAUUAUUGGGCGUAAAGCGUCCGCAGGCGGAAACAUAAGUCAGUUAUUAAAUACCGGUGCUCAACAUCGGUGCUGUAACCGAAACUGUGUUUCUAGAGGAUGGGAGAGGUAUAUGGAAUUGUGCAAGUAGGGGUAAAAUCCGUAGAUAUGCACAGGAACACCAAAAGCGAAGGCAGUAUACUGGACCAUUCCUGACGCUCAGGGACGAAAGCGUGGGUAGCAAAAGGGAUUAGAUA
RNAcentral lists this ribosomal RNA (279 nucleotides) under uncultured bacterium. RNAcentral describes it as "partial 16S ribosomal RNA". It matches the Rfam family "Bacterial small subunit ribosomal RNA", at positions 506 to 784 of the family's 1533-position model. The record is from RNAcentral.